AGAGUUUGAUCAUGGCUCAGGAUGAACGCUAGCGGCAGGCCUAAUACAUGCAAGUCGAACGAGGUUUGGUAGCAAUACCAAGCUUAGUGGCGCACGGGUGCGUAACGCGUAUGCAACCUACCUUUUACUGGGGGAUAGCCCGGGGAAACCCGGAUUAAUACCGCAUAAGAUAAUAAGAUGGCAUCAUCAAGUUAUUAAAUCUGAGGAGGUAAAAGAUGGGCAUGCGUCUGAUUAGCUAGUUGGUGAGGUAAUGGCUCACCAAGGCGACGAUCAGUAGGGGACCUGAGAGGGUGAUCCCCCACACUGGCACUGAGAUACGGGCCAGACUCCUACGGGAGGCAGCAGUAGGGAAUAUUGGGCAAUGGUGGAGACACUGACCCAGCCAUGCCGCGUGAAGGAAGAAGGCUUUCUGAGUUGUAAACUUCUUUUAUCUGGGAAUAAACGACCCUUGCGAGGGGCAUUGAAUGUACCAGAUGAAUAAGCACCGGCUAACUCCGUGCCAGCAGCCGCGGUAAUACGGAGGGUGCAAGCGUUGUCCGGAUUUAUUGGGUUUAAAGGGUGCGUAGGCGGUUUAAUAAGUCAGUGUUUAAAGUCAACAGCUUAACUGUUGGAAUGGCAUUGAUACUGUUAAACUUGAGUAAAGUUGAGGUAGGCGGAAUUGAAGGUGUAGCGGUGAAAUGCAUAGAUAUCUUCAAGAACACCAAUUGCGAAGGCAGCUUACUAAGCUUUAACUGACGCUGAGGCACGAAAGCGUGGGGAUCAAACAGGAUUAGAUACCCUAGUAGUCC
RNAcentral lists this ribosomal RNA (788 nucleotides) under uncultured bacterium. Its description in RNAcentral is "bacterial SSU rRNA". It matches the Rfam family "Bacterial small subunit ribosomal RNA", at positions 8 to 796 of the family's 1533-position model. The record is from RNAcentral.